Molecule: long non-coding RNA, 1264 nt
Organism: Cyprinus carpio (common carp)
Lineage: Eukaryota; Metazoa; Chordata; Actinopteri; Cypriniformes; Cyprinidae
Source: RefSeq, a predicted model, not a curated record
CGAUCACAAAGGCAGACAUGGUUUUGUGUUUACAUAGUGCGGUACGCAACACAACUCAUAAAAAGACAUUAUAAUCAGUAAUUAGCUGGCUAACGUUAGUUUUUUCACUCGCCUGCGGCAGACAAACUGUGAUUGAACCCCAGACCAGUGAGUUUGACUGACGUUUUAUUCGCCUCUUCCUAUUUCUUUUUCACUCAAUGUUGUUUGUGAGGAGUGGAAGUUAAUUUUACUCAUACAGCAGUCACGAUUCCAGCUGAGGAGAGACAAUAACAGACAUGGCUGUUGUUUGAAAGAGUAAGUUUAAAUUAAUUAACGGAAUAAAUACAAACAAUGGAUGAAUAUACUUCUGUUCUAUCUAGGUUCACAGCCCUCUUAACAGCCAUCUUGUUUUGGAAGGAAGAAGAAAUGGAAGAGAUGCUUUGGAAGUAAAAGUUGUCAACGACAAGCCUGACAUCACACAGAUGAUACUUCAAAGGCCAGCACUUUUUACAGUAAACCAGCUGAAGAUACUACCAAGUAUCUUCACCAAGCUGUUACUCUGAGGCAGGAGUCCCAAGCACCAUGUGGCCCUCACACAUGCACUCAGAAGAGGCCUCGCUCCCCCACGGAGAGAUCCACAUCCAGGACGAGUGCUAAGGGGGGUUAAAAAGGCCUGCUGCAUCUGUCUUUUUUAAUAACACUAUGUCCAGGAAGUUCAGGCUGGAUGAGGACUAAGUGUAAUGAGAUGUCCAUCACGACAACAUGUGUGACAAGUGGAAUGGAAAUGCAAUUAGCCCUCCCCCCACCACCAGACAUGGCUAGGCCUGUUAUGUGUUAAUAAUGUGAUGUAAUGGCCAUAAGGAUAAAACAGUUCCUGUUCGUGACAUCAGGGGAUCUCAUCUUUAUCCUCCCAGAACAUCUGAAUGAACGUGUAAGUGAGCAAGUGCUUUAGGGGAAUGAGUGAGUCAGUGAGAAAGCAGUGAACGUGAGUCCGUUGCUCUUUUCCAAAUCGUAGUUGGCUGCCUGCAGAGGCUGCAUUUGAUGGAGUGUUGUUCCUUAAAUGAAGGCUUUUUCAAAAUCUACACGUAUUUAUUACACUGACUUAUGAGAUACCAGAUUUUAGCCAGAUUCUAAGGCGUUAGUGCAUAUUUCUUUGUAGGCAAGGCAAUCCCAAAAUGUAUUGGCAUGAGCUCCUUUGUGGGGAAAAAAUGCACUUAUUGGUAUUGAAGUGUACUUCAAAUGUUAAAAGUAUAUAUGUGUGUAUAUGUAUGUAUAUGUAUGUGUG